This 1659-nucleotide ribosomal RNA is filed under the name Triticum aestivum (bread wheat). Its description in RNAcentral is "partial small subunit ribosomal RNA". The record is from RNAcentral. Lineage: Eukaryota; Viridiplantae; Streptophyta; Magnoliopsida; Poales; Poaceae.
AUGAGAGCCGCUUGCUUCUGCUUGUCCUUCACCGCUGCCUCUCCCCCCCUCCCUUCCACCUCCACCGCUGCCUCGAGCCCACGCUGUCAGAGUCACGCCUCCUACCGCUGGUCCCAGCCACGCCAUAGCCGCGGCGGGGUGGUCCGGGCCCUCCACGAGCGGCUGCUAGAGACACCAACCCCCGCACCAGCGGAGACCGAGGUCGAGGAUGAGAGUGGUGUCGGUGAGAUAGAAGACGGCGGUGAACGGGAGGGAAGAGAUGGGCAGGCUGAUAUUGUGGGCCCGUCGGAGGCCCAGGAGCAGCCGAAGAGCAGGCGACGACAGCAGCAGGAGGAAGAGGAUGCCACGGCGGAGCGCGCCCGGUUCAAGCUCAUCAACGGCAAAGAGAUAUUUCAAGAGAAGACCUACCUAGUUGGAGUCGAGUGCAAGAGGGCCGCAAGAGAUAACUUCAGCAUAGAGGAAUCGCUCAAGGAGCUUGAGCAGUUAGCUGAUACUGCUGGGCUCAUGGUUCUCGGAUCGACCUAUCAAAAGCUUUCAAGUCCAAAUCCAAGGACUUAUAUUGGUUCAGGGAAGGUUGCUGAAAUUAGGAGUGCAGUUCAGGCCCUUGAUAUUGAGACUAUAAUUUUCGAUGAUGAGUUGUCUGCUGGACAGCUGCGUAACUUGGAGAAGUCCUUUGGUGGAGGUGUUCGAGUCUGUGACCGGACUGCUCUUAUUCUGGACAUUUUUAAUCAAAGGGCAGUGACACAUGAAGCUGCUCUGCAGGUCACCCUGGCACAAAUGGAAUAUCAACUUCCUAGGUUGACAAAACUGUGGACUCACCUUGAGCGGCAGUCGGGAGGCCAAGUCAAGGGUAUGGGUGAGAAACAAAUUGAAGUUGACAAGCGCAUCUUGAGAACACAAAUAAGCACUUUGAGGAAGGAAUUGGAGUCUGUCCGAAAACAUCGAAAGCUUUAUCGCAACCGUCGACGGUCGGUGCCUAUUCCUGUUGUUUCUCUGGUGGGAUAUACAAAUGCUGGAAAAAGUACACUCUUGAACCGCUUAACUGGAGCUGAUGUGCUCGCUGAGGAUAAAUUAUUUGCCACACUAGACCCAACAACACGGAGGGUGUUGAUGAAGAGCGGCACUGAGUUCCUCCUAACAGAUACUGUCGGGUUCAUUCAGAAGCUACCCACUAUGCUGGUGGCAGCAUUUAGAGCAACACUGGAGGAGAUAUCAGAAUCAUCAAUUAUUGUUCAUCUUGCAGAUAUCAGCCAUCCAUUAGCUCAACAACAGAUAGGUGCUGUUGACAAAGUACUGAAAGAGCUGGAUAUAGACUCGGUUCCGAAGUUGGUUGUGUGGAAUAAGAUUGACAAUACCGAUAACCCAUUGAGAGUGAAGGAGGAAGCCGAGAAACAAGGGAUAAUCUGCAUAUCCGCCAUGAAUGGUGAUGGUUUGGAAGAGUUCUGCAAUGCAAUCCAAGCAAAGUUGAAAGACUCACUGGUGCCCAUAGAAGCUUUUGUUCCGUAUGACAAAGGAGAUCUGUUAAAUGACAUACAUAAGGUUGGAAUGGUUGAGAAAACGGAGUACAUGGAAAAUGGCACGUUGAUAAAAGCACAUGUGCCUCUACCUCUUGCAAGGCUUCUCACGCCGUUGCGGCAGCAGGUGGCUGCUCCUCUAUGA